Molecule: ribosomal RNA, 460 nt
Filed under: uncultured bacterium
Lineage: Bacteria
Description: partial 16S ribosomal RNA
Rfam family: Bacterial small subunit ribosomal RNA
Source: RNAcentral
CCUACGGGAGGCAGCAGUGAGGAAUAUUGGUCAAUGGACGAGAGUCUGAACCAGCCAAGUAGCGUGAAGGAUGACUGCCCUAUGGGUUGUAAACUUCUUUUAUAUGGGAAUAACAUGUUCCACGUGUGGGAUUUUGUAUGUACCAUAUGAAUAAGGAUCGGCUAACUCCGUGCCAGCAGCCGCGGUACUACGGCGGAUCCGAGCGUUAUCCGGAUUUAUUGGGUUUAAAGGGUGCGUAGGUGGAUUGUUAAGUCAGUUGUGAAAGUUUGCGGCUCAACCGUAAGAUUGCAGUUGAAACUGGCAGUCUUGAGUACAGUAGAGGUGGGCGGAAUUCGGGGUGUAGCGGUGAAAUGCUUAGAUAUCACGAAGAACUCCGAUGGCGAAGGCAGUUCACUGGACUUCAACUGACACUGAGGCUCGAAAGUGUGGGUAUCAAACAGGAUUAGAUACCCUGGUAGUC